RNAcentral lists this ribosomal RNA (460 nucleotides) under uncultured bacterium. RNAcentral's name for it is "partial 16S ribosomal RNA". It matches the Rfam family "Bacterial small subunit ribosomal RNA", at positions 338 to 795 of the family's 1533-position model. The record is from RNAcentral.
CCUACGGGAGGCAGCAGUGAGGAAUAUUGGUCAAUGGACGAGAGUCUGAACCAGCCAAGUAGCGUGAAGGAUGACUGCCCUAUGGGUUGUAAACUUCUUUUAUAUGGGAAUAAAAUGUUCCACGUGUGGGAUUUUGUAUGUACCAUAUGAAUAAGGAUCGGCUAACUCCGUGCCAGCAGCCGCGGUAAUACGGAGGAUCCGAGCGUUAUCCGGAUUUAUUGGGUUUAAAGGGAGCGUAGGUGGAUUGUUAAGUCAGUUGUGAAAGUUUGCGGCUCAACCGUAAAAUUGCAGUUGAAACUGGCAGUCUUGAGUACAGUAGAGGUGGUCGGAAUUCGUGGUGUAGCGGUGAAAUGCUUAGAUAUCACGAAGAACUCCGAUUGCGAAGGCAGUUCACUGGACUGCAACUGACACUGAGGCUCGAAAGUGUGGGUAUCAAACAGGAUUAGAUACCCCAGUAGUC